GGCCUCCGCGACUGCGUCGGCCCGAAGCCGCAGGAUCGUGGUCUCGACGAUGAGGCGAUCUCUGUUUGAGCGUGCACAGAGGCGGCGCACGAUCUCCAUGUCGCCUUGGUGCAGGGCGUCCUGGGCGGUAAAGGCGAUCAUAUGAUCUACGCGCGCGUCCACUUGACUUUGCUGCACGCCGACGGGCGGUCGACGGUCCAAAAGUACGCGCUCCAGGUCAUCGCGUCCUCUGUGAAUAAUAAGAGGCGAGCGGGCGCCGUCAAAGCGGGUACCCAUGUCGCGCGAGCACGUCCCAAACACGACGUCGAGGUCGGUUGUGUCCAUGUCGUGUACGAUCACACGCUCUACAAGUGCGGCGUGGCCCAUCAGCGCUGCGGUGGCGUACGCGCGCGCGAGUGCGACAGCCAUAGCCUUGGGCCAUCGCGGUCGUACAGAAGCCAGCACGCGGUCCAGAACAUCGAUCCGCCCGAUGCGCGCCGCCGCGUCCAAGAGCCGAAAUGCAUCGUAAGGCACGAGGGUUUGUCCAGCAGGCAGCACCCGUUCGUAGAGCCAUAGCGCAAUGAUGGCAUCGUCCCUCAGCAGUAGCGGCAGUUCGCGGUGUCCCCGCGUGAUAUGGGCCAGCGCCGCAGCGAGUCUCGCGUCACCGACCAAACCUUUCAAAAGGCCAAAGUAACCCCUCUCCAGGCACCGGACAAUGGCGCGAUUGGUGGCAGUCGCCUGCGAACCGGCCAGCGUGCCCGUAAUGGCUUGCUCGACGAGUUUGGCAUCUUGGCCCUGUGCGGCGUCAUGCAGUCGCGCCCAGACCGUCUCGCCGGGAGCGCCCGUGUCACCGGUCCACGCCGCACGCACGACGCGCGCCGCGUCGCCUGGACGAUAGCCACAGACGACUGCGGCUACCAUACGUGUGACCAGCCACGGAGCGUCGACUGAUCCCGGCGACCGGUUGCCUUUGAGGCACAGCCACACCACAGCAUCGUCUUUCCCCGCGUGACCGAGCCGAAGGACGAUACGCAUCCACGAGUCGCGAUCGAGCGGCCAGACGCCCUUGCUCAGGGGCAGCAGGCGGCUUACGGUGUCCAUGUGGCCGCCAGCAGCGGCCAGUUCCAGGCACCUGCGCCAAAACGGCGGCUCGCCGCGCAAGGCAAAGAGAUCCGGUCGACUGAGCGCAUAGUCAACGCCCUCGACGUCGCCGGCGGCACACAAGGAAAAGAGGGCCGCCCAGCGGUACUUGCGUUUAAAGAGCGCGCGACGGUCGAGGACGUGAAAGCGACGCCAGGCCAAUAGGCACGCCCCUAGAGAUCGGUCGUCGAGAAAACCAUCGACCAGGUAGACGAGGACGUCGUCCGAAAGGAUGUCGAUUGGCGGUCGUUGCUCGCGAUCGACCACGCCUCUGACGCCACCGUCGCGGUCGUCGUCGUCGCGUCGUUGAUGCAUACCAAGAGCAAGAAAGAGUCAGUCGAAAAAAAAGAGGCUACUUAUUUUUCGUUGGCAGAGCGCGACUGACCUGAUUGGCCAAAGGGCAAGAGCACGUCGCAAUAAAAAACAGACAACGAUGGCCAAGGGCAGGGCGCCCGGCAAAAAAAAGAGGGACCCAAUGGAUCAUCAGGACCGUUCACGCCCCUCUGAAAUGGCGAUGGGGCAAACUUUUUAAUACUGCGACAACAAAUUGGCAUGCUCCACGAAAAAAAGAGCGCCCAAGGAGACGGACGGCAGGCUCAAAAAAGGUCCACGCCCACAAUGUGAGCCAAGGAAUAAAGACGCAG
RNAcentral lists this long non-coding RNA (1763 nucleotides) under Pandoravirus dulcis. RNAcentral's name for it is "putative ncRNA". The record is from RNAcentral.